AGAGUUUGAUCCUGGCUCAGGACGAACGCUGGCGGCGUGCCUAAUACAUGCAAGUCGAGCGAUGAUUGAAGAUAGCUUGCUAUUUUCAUGAAGAGCGGCGAACGGGUGAGUAACGCGUGGGAAAUCUGCCGAGUAGCGGGGGACAACGUUUGGAAACGAACGCUAAUACCGCAUAACAAUGAGAAUCGCAUGAUUCUUAUUUGAAAGAAGCAAUUGCUUCACUACUUGAUGAUCCCGCGUUGUAUUAGCUAGUUGGUAGUGUAAAGGACUACCAAGGCGAUGAUACAUAGCCGACCUGAGAGGGUGAUCGGCCACACUGGGACUGAGACACGGUCCAGACUCCUACGGGAGGCAGCAGUAGGGAAUUUUCGGCAAUGGGGGGAACCCUGACCGAGCAACGCCGCGUGAGUGAAGAAGGUUUUCGGAUCGUAAAACUCUGUUGUUAGAGAAGAACAAGGAUGAGAAGGAAAUGGACUGCAGGUGACGGUACUUUAUGAGAAAGCCACGGCUAACUACGUGCCAGCAGCCGCGGUAAUACGUAGGUGGCAAGCGUUAUCCGGAUUUAUUGGGCGUAAAGCGAGCGCAGGCGGUUAGAUAAGUCUGAAGUUAAAGGCUGUGGCUCAACCAUAGUACGCAUUGGAAACUGGGAAACUUGAGUGCAGAAAAGGACAGUGGAACUCCAUGUGUAGCGGUGAAAUGCGUAGAUAUAUGGAGGAACACCAGUGGCGAAGGCGACGAUCUGGCCUGUAACUGACGCUCAGUCCCGAAAGCGUGGGGAGCAAAUAGGAUUAGAUACCCUGGUAGUCCACGCCGUAAACGAUGUCGAUUUGGAGGUUGUGCCCUUGAGGCGUGGCUUCCGGAGCUAACGCGUUAAAUCGACCGCCUGGGGAGUACGGCCGCAAGGCUAAAACUCAAAGGAAUUGACGGGGGCCCGCACAAGCGGUGGAGCAUGUGGUUUAAUUCGAUGCAACGCGAAGAACCUUACCUGGUCUUGACAUCCACAGAACUUAGCAGAGAUGCUUUGGUGCCUUCGGGAACUGUGAGACAGGUGCUGCAUGGCUGUCGUCAGCUCGUGCCGGGAAAUGUUGGGUUAAGUCCCGCAACGAGCGCAACCCUUAUCCUUUGUUGCCAGCGGUUAGGCCGGGAACUCAAAGGAGACUGCCAGUGAUAAACUGGAGGAAGGUGGGGAUGACGUCAAGUCAUCAUGGCCCUUACGACCAGGGCUACACACGUGCUACAAUGGCAUAUACAAAGAGAAGCGACCUCGCGAGAGCAAGCGGACCUCAUAAAGUAUGUCGUAGUCCGGAUUGGAGUCUGCAACUCGACUCCAUGAAGUCGGAAUCGCUAGUAAUCGUAGAUCAGAAUGCUACGGUGAAUACGUUCCCGGGCCUUGCACACACCGCCCGUCA
Molecule: ribosomal RNA, 1409 nt
Filed under: human gut metagenome
Description: bacterial SSU rRNA
Rfam family: Bacterial small subunit ribosomal RNA
Source: RNAcentral